UAGGCAUCAAAAUGAAUGUCAUGUCAUAUUUGGUAGCGUUCUUCUUGAUUCUUGGGUUGCUCUUACAAUCUCACGCUAGUUUCACAGGCAAGGUCUCCGCGUGGGAAGCCCCUUCCAAUGAGUUUUCUUCUUAUAAGUUGAAUGUGGUGACAAGAAAGGUUAGAAGAUCCCCGCCUCCAUCUCCCAGGCUUAAUCCUCCUAUUCACUUCAAAAGUCCUCCUCCUCCUCGGCCACCACCACCGCCAGUGUCACCGCCACCACCGCCAGUGUCCCUGCCACCGCCGC
RNAcentral lists this unclassified non-coding RNA (285 nucleotides) under Hevea brasiliensis (rubber tree). Lineage: Eukaryota; Viridiplantae; Streptophyta; Magnoliopsida; Malpighiales; Euphorbiaceae. The record is from RNAcentral.